Molecule: long non-coding RNA, 2638 nt
Filed under: Marmota monax (woodchuck)
Lineage: Eukaryota; Metazoa; Chordata; Mammalia; Rodentia; Sciuridae
Source: RNAcentral
GCCUCGGCCCGCCCGCGCGGCGGCGCUGUCGUGGCUCGGGCCUGGCCGCCCCCACCUGGGUGCCCCGGAGACCCCCGACCGUCUGGACCCGCGGGGAGAGCAGGGCGCCCACGCUCGGGGUCACCUGCGCACCCUCAGGAGAGGGUUUGGGGCGCGACGCCAGCCGUAGCUUUCCAGGUCACCUGGGCCUCGGCCAUGCGGGGCCUGGGGCGCUCCGGAUCUGCCUCGUGAAGUGGGCGGCCCGCGGGCCCUUGGCUGGGAGGGAGUGGGCGUCGUGGGAGGGAUUGUGCACUCGAAUAAAAGUAAAAGUUUUUGUUGUUUUUUUAUAGCCUUGUGGGUCCGGAGAGUCUGAAGGCUAAUUAGGGAAGCUGCCGCCCAGUCUUGAGGUGAAUCAUGGUUGUGACACUGACAAGUGUGGGAAGAAAGGCUGCUGAUGACUUCUCAGCCACGUUGACUUUUUUCCCUUUAAUGACAAAGCAGGAAACCCAGUGGCCUUGAGUGGUCGCACAGGUAACCGACUACAAAUCGCUCCUCACCCCCAGCCUUGUUCUGCUUUUGGCGCAGCCCAGAUGCCCUCUCCACGUCCACCCAGCAGCAGCAGCAGCAGCGGUGUCCCCUCUCCCGCAGAGAGCUUUUCGGGAAUGGAAGGACAACGAACUUGAACUGUGCCCCAGCAGGCAACUGAGGCCGACGUAGCCCGGGGAAAGCAUUCCUGCCCCAGGUAGAAGGGAGAACGGUAGCUUUGGACAGUGACAUGCAGAUGUCGUCGGACGUCUGAAUUGGCGGUGAUGCCGGCGCGAUUGUGUGGGGAAUCCGCGGAUUCCGCGCCGCACGGUGGGGCGGUUGUGUCUGAUGGUGUGCGACGUGGACACCCAGGACCUGAGAAGCACGCACUUGCACAGCUUCCAAAGCAGGCACGGAAUACUGGAAGGGGCUGUCUGUGCUGCUGGCUUAAAAUGGGGUCAUAGUCCCCAACAAGAAUCAGAGGCAGAAAAAAGUUAAUCGCAGAUCUCAUUUACUUGUGCAUGUAAAGGGAAAUUGCCUUUUAAAUUUUUUGAUGAAAUCUUUUUGGCACAAGUGAGUCACUUACAGUCUCUGUUGAUAGUUAAAUGCAUUAAAUCCCCUGUAUGAAGGAAACAUAAAUUGUGAAUGAAUCUUGCUGUCCCAAAUUAAUAACCUGCUUUCACAAUGGGCAGGUGACUCAUGGCAGAGACAAUGAAUUUGUUAGGUGUGUUUGCUUUUCUCAAAAUCCUAAAACUAAACCCUACUAUGAGCAACUCUGCCCUCUUGUCACUUUGAACCUCUGCUGCUUGCUAUUCAAAAAUCACAUUUACUUCGUGGUGUGGUUAACUACUAAAUAUUUAUUGACUCCAUAAAUUGCCUUUCUACCUAAGAAUUUUGUUUCCAGAAUAACAGGAGCCUCUGGCUCUAUGCCUGUGUGCUGUGGGUGGCUUUUGAAGUGCCUGGAGAUUUUGAAAGGACAAAAACUGGAAGUUCUUGGUGAUUAGCUAAGGCUGAGAACCCUGGUAUCAACACCCAAAAUAGAAAGUGGUGGGGAACUUUGUGACUGGGCCAGAGAAAUGGAAAAUCAUCUGGAGUCCGGCAGAGCAAAUACCUUCAAUGCUUUAAAAAAAAAAAAAAAAAGUGGAAAAAGAAGAAUACCCUCUGCCACCCUGCAACUUUCACCUUCCUGCCCAGGAAUCUGUUCCUAGGCCCUGCCAACCGCCAGAUAGGAAAGCACUUCCCCUUUUUAGUGCCUCUUGAUCAAACCUAGAAGCCAGUUGAGAACAGGCUAACAUGCUCAAAUAAAGCUUUGCCAAGGCUUCAAAGGAAGCAUAGACUCCACAUUCAGUUUCUUGCAAUUUGCACAGACAUCGUGAAGCUAAAAGCAUGGAGUUGGCUGUUUUCUGGAAAUUCCAGAAAAUCUCUCAGCUGUCUCUGUACAACCUCUUGAGGGAAGGAGACCCUGACUGGACAGCAAAAGGAAGACCUGCUUCUUCUGAAUGUAUUGCAGCAAAUCUGGGAACAUAUUCUUACCAAAAGUCAGCACUGCUUAAAGUCAUUCAGUCCCCAACAGAACCCUGAGCUGAGACCAGCCAUUUCUGCUGUACCCCAGAGGUUCCACUGUGUUCUUUGUGAUGUGGAUGAGGGAGGGUCAGCACAAAAAGAGCGAGGCAGGUGACCAAGGUCUUGUAGGUAGCAAAUGGCAGAACCGGGGGUUGAACUCUAUACUCUUGCUGUUGAGCAAUGCUGCCAUUCUCAAAUGGCAUCUUGUGGGAGACCAACCUUACACAUGACUGAGUACACUCCCCGGCUGGGUGCUGAGGCGCUCAGUCACAGAAAUAUGUCAGAGCUUUCCCCACCCUUCUUGAGUUCGAGGGUUGGUGUCUCGUGCAUGGGUGUGUCUUGCUACAGCCCCAUGGGUGGAGCUACGCUCAACUGUUGCUUUGUAAUAUAACCCCUUGCCCUGUUUAGGAUAGAAUCUUCCAUGAAAGUGCCUUGUGUGUGUCCCCUUCUCUUACUGUGCCCUUGGGUGUGGCCUGCCCAGGUGUCAGUCAACCUGCUGACAGUGGACAUCAUGAAGAUAGACUCAGCCCCCUGAAACCUGACCCCUUGCCUCAUUUGAAUAGCUUCUCCU